UACGUAGGGGGCAAGCGUUGUCCGGAUUUAUUGGGCGUAAAGAGCGUGUAGGCGGCCAGACAGGUCAGCUGUGAAAACUCGAGGCUCAACCUCGAGACGUCGGUUGAAACCGUUUGGCUAGAGUCCGGAAGAGGAGAGUGGAAUUCCUGGUGUAGCGGUGAAAUGCGCAGAUAUCAGGAAGAACACCCGUGGCGAAGGCGGCUCUCUGGGACGGUACUGACGCUGAGACGCGAAAGCGUGGGGAGCGAACAGG
RNAcentral lists this ribosomal RNA (253 nucleotides) under uncultured bacterium. RNAcentral's name for it is "partial 16S ribosomal RNA". It matches the Rfam family "Bacterial small subunit ribosomal RNA", at positions 524 to 776 of the family's 1533-position model. The record is from RNAcentral.